Molecule: unclassified non-coding RNA, 141 nt
Filed under: uncultured Helotiales
Lineage: Eukaryota; Fungi; Ascomycota; Leotiomycetes; Helotiales
Description: sequence contains ITS2
Source: RNAcentral
CACCCUCAAGCGCCGCUUGGUGUUGGGCCCUGCCUACGCGGCCGGCCCCAAGGUCAGUGGCGGCGUCCCGGGCCCCUAAGCAUGGUACGCAACUCUUGCUCCAGGGCCCCGCGGCGCCUGCCAGAACCCAUCGACCCCUAC